CGUUGGCUGGACGUAUGCGGAAGUUCCCAUGAUCCUCUGCGCCAGAUCUGUGUGAAUGUGUUGUGUGCAGCGCGCUGUGUGCAAAUAAGAAAAUAAAGAUGGCGGCUGAUGGAAUCCCGGGCACAGAGCCAAACCCGGACCUGAACUCAUGGAGCGGCCCCGAGUUACAGGCCAAACUGACAGAGAUCGGAGCGCCUGUUAUGGGCCCGAGAGAAGAGUUAAUAGACAGACUGAAAUCCUACAUGAUGCAGUGAGCAAGCCUGUGGCGACGGUGGCAAGGAAAAACUCCCUCAGACAACAUGAGGAAGAAACCUCGAGAGGAACCAGACUCAAAAGGGAACCCAUCCUCAUUUGGGCAACAACAGACAACAGUCAGGACAAACAGACGAGGGCCCAAGUUAAAUGUUGAAUUUAUUGAUAGCAGGGGAAAGGGAGGAUGUGUGUGUGAAGUUCAGUAGCAGGAAGACUGAGAAGCAGGGAUGGCUGGUGGGAGCAUGGUGGUGACAUCUGAUGUCUCCCAUCCAAGUACUAACCAGGCCCAACCCUGCUUAGCUUCUGAGAUCAGACAGGAUCAGGUGUUGUCAGAGUAGUUUGGCUGCAAGCUGAUAGCCCUUGGUGUUCAGGUGGUCUCCCAGUGAGCAGGCUCUCAGCAGGCAGACAGGACAGCACAACAGACAGGAGUUUGGGAACAGGCUGAAACAGAGUCACAGGUCAGGUAGCGAGAAUGGAGACAGAAAAGCAGGGUCAGGUUACCAGGGCUGAAGAGUUGUCGGAGUCGAUGCCUUGAAAGACAAUCUGACACUGAAGCUUGGGAGGACUGCAGUUUAAAUAUACACAGGGAAGGGAGCAGGUGAUAGGAACCAGCCAAUGACAGCCACUGAAAGUCAAAUGAGGGUUAAUGAUGGUAAUUGACAGCAGGUGAGCCUGAUGGGGAAGGAGCAUGCGGGCGUGGCAGGUAAUACAGAGUGGAGAGGAGUGGAAUGUUACCUGAAGAGAGGAAACCACAGGUAGGACCAUGACAACAACAUGACUAUAAAAUUAACAGUCCUAACAUAAAGUCAGCUUCAUUGAUGCUAUAAACCCCCCACCGACAGAAACCUGAGCGCAAAACCGUUCACGACAACCACAGUCCCAAAGUCAGCAAGUCAUCUGCAGUCCUAAAGUCAGCAAGUCAACUGCAGUCCCCAGCCAUAAAAGCACCACUGCAAGAGUCCAGAGCAUCCUCCAGGACCCCCAACUGUCCACAUGGGGCCGCCCUCCAUAGGAGCGAUGCGAUGAGACUCCAACCAGAUACAGGGCACCAGGAUGGAUCAGGCAGGUCCGAGGAGCAGAAG
This is a long non-coding RNA of Neoarius graeffei (lesser salmon catfish), 1334 nucleotides long. RefSeq lists it as uncharacterized. NCBI's taxonomy places the organism in Eukaryota, Metazoa, Chordata, Actinopteri, Siluriformes, Ariidae. The record is from RefSeq and is a predicted model, not a curated record. The transcript is spliced from 3 exons.